UAAAAUGAUAAUUUUGAUGAUCAAAUUACUCUUUCAGUUGCAUGGAAUAAUGUUAUGAGUUAAAGGGGAAAGAGCAAAUUACUUUUCACUCUCCAGUACAGAUCUAUGUGUAGGUGCUACUGCUAACAACGGGAAUCCUACACCAACCUAAGUUUGGAAGUACAUUAUCAAAGACUUGGUGGUUACAUACAUACUUUCCAAAUGCACCAGGUCUCUAAAUAGCAAUUUCCAUGGCAAAUAGUUUGAUGAUCUGUUCGUUAACAAUCUCUAUCCCUCAAAUAAUUUUGUUGCCUUUUCUCCAUUAGCAUUGCAAGGCAAAUGAAAAUUCCAAGAAAAAUACAGCUAUAUUCCUUGACAUGAGAAAUUGAGACGGCAGAAGAUUUCCAAAGCAAAUUGAAAUGGAAUAAAAGAUCCCUCAACUAUAAAUAUGCCCGCCAAAAGACAAAGGCAAGCCAUGGAAUUAGGAGCCCUGCUGGAUUAGUAAUAAUAGAUUUCAAUAAGGAAGCUCAUAGUUAUAUAAAAUAGCAAUAGAUUUUUUUGACGAAUAGAUCAACAAAAAGAUAAAAAAAGCAAUAGAUAUAUUUCCCAACAAAAAGAUUGAUCACAUGACAGUCAUGAUAUGGGAGGAAAAAGACAGAUGCAUCAAGUAGCAGAACGGGGCAAGAACACAGCCCGCUUUAUUUUUUGCAUGUAUUCUCAGCAUAGAUGAAUUAUACAGUUAGAAGAAAAAAAAUACUACCAUGAGACGGUACAUAAAAGAUCCCUUGCCAGACCCCAAGUAAAAGGCAACAAAAUUGUAAGUGAAAGUAACAAACAUGGUCACAAAGCUGAUGGCACCUAGAUUGGUAAUGUCUAGUUCUUUGCGGUAUUCCAUGAAGAUUUUUCCCCACGUUACUCACAAAAGAAGGGACCAUUACUUGCAGAUGCCAAAUCAUUUUAUAGCAGCCGAAAGAUGAAGAUUUGAGCACCCACUCCACUACUCCUUUGUCAAAUUUUGGGUCAUUCCCACAAUUAAAUUGACCAAAAAAAAGGAAUAAUCCGAUGAGUCUACACCACCAACAAAAAUGAAAGCAUGUGCAUUUGAUAGAAAUGUACAUAUGAGUAUAGCAACAAACUUCAACGAAUUGAUAUACUGAACCCUUUACAACUGUUGAUGCACAAAUAUUGAACCAUACAUAACCGGUGAUUAUUUGCUAGAUUUAGGUGGCAAUUAUUAGCAUGAAGGUUAAGAUGAUAGGAAUGAAGAAAGCAUUGUGAAUGAAAAAUCAGAAUAUGAUUUGGAAUCCCAUACGCUCAAAAGAACUCUACAAUGCUGCAAAAAUAAAACCGUGUUUGAAUUACGAAGUUUCCUUAGAGGAAAACAAAACAUAUCUUCCCAUCAUAUUGCAGCGAUGAAGUAUUUUUCAAUCAUAAAAAAACCAUUGGUUGUCAAUGAUGUACCCACACAUGGUGUUAAACGACAGAACAUUCAUGCACUUUUAAUAUGUAAUCCAUGUCUUCAUCUGUUGGAAUGGCAAUAUAGAUCUCAAAGUUUGUUCGUACAGUGCUGAAACAUGAGUGGUAUGACAUCAACUUCACUGAUUUAUAUCUUCUAUAUUUCAAAUGAUAGUUGUCAUGUGGACAAAGCCCCCAGCCAACUUCAUGAAAAAGAGAACGGAUCUGUACCGGCACUGAAAUAAUCAUAAUGGCAUGGACCAGUAAUCCUAUAAUUAUGAUACAACACAUGUGCUUUUGAGAUCAAUAUAAUCCAAGAGGGAACGUCAGAUUAACUUUUCAUGAAUUGGCAGGCAUGGAAAUUUUUUGGAGCAAUGGUACAGACACCAACCUGAUGCUGAAGACUAUGGGAGCGAUGCCGCUCAACUAUCUAAGGGGAAUUUCUGAGGGAGCACGGGAAGUUGCCGAGAGGCGGCGACCUCGUCGCUUCUGGGCAGCAGGGAGGUGGUGGAAGUCGUCCUCGAGGAGGCAGAGUCGUGGAGGUCAUCCUGCACCGGAUCUCCCUCUCCCCUUACUCGGCCACCCCCACCCCUCACCAUCUCUCCCAGAUCAGAUUGAGCCGCAAGUGAGGCGGCGGCCAGAUCGAUGACGCGAUGGAGGUCGCUCCGUUGAGGUAUUCGCGCGCCAGGAGAAGGAGAUGAGGAGGUGGUGCCAUGGGGUGCCUCUGCUCGCCCGCGCGGAAGAACGCCGGAGCAGUCGGCUGCAGGGCAUCGAUGGUGCGUGUGGUGGCAUCGCUUGUUCUGCUGGCAUGAAGAGGAAGGGAUAAGAAGAGAUCCACCGGUGGG
Molecule: long non-coding RNA, 2279 nt
Filed under: Triticum aestivum (bread wheat)
Lineage: Eukaryota; Viridiplantae; Streptophyta; Magnoliopsida; Poales; Poaceae
Description: long non-coding RNA (TAES_LNC000524)
Source: RNAcentral